Molecule: long non-coding RNA, 1199 nt
Organism: Trachemys scripta elegans
Lineage: Eukaryota; Metazoa; Chordata; Testudines; Emydidae
Exons: 3
Source: RefSeq, a predicted model, not a curated record
GCCUGAUGUGAUCUCCCAGGUGGAACAAGGGCAAGAGUCAGGUGCCCUGACUCUCCAAGACUCCAAGAAAACAGACAUCUUUAGAGGCACCUGAACUGCAGACAAUAAGAUCAUCCUGAAGAGGUCACUCCUCAGCAGAAAGAUCCCAAAAAGACAGAACCAUACUGGACAUUAGCUGGGAGACCAGCAGGGGAUAUUGCCCGGAAUCCUGACUGUGGAAAAAUCUCUGAGAGUCAGGGCAGGUCAGAAAGGAAAGAGGGAAAUUCUGUAGGGAAGAACCAGGAUAAAUUGGUUCACCAUGAAAGAGGUUUGGGAGGACACAAGAGCAUCAUUGCCCAGGGAGAGGGUCCGAAUACGUGUAUAGGAUGUGGGAAAAGCUUCUGUCUGAGAUCAAAUCUUAUUACACACCAGAAACUCCACAUGGGAGAAAAACCUUAUAAAUGUACUGAGUGUGGGAAAAGCUUCCUUCAGAACUCUAAAUUUAGUCAGCACCAGGGAAUCCACAUGGGAAAGAAACCCUAUAAAUGUCUGGAAUGCGGAAAAGGCUUCACUCUGAGCUCCACACUCAUUCAUCAUCAGAAAACCCACAGGAGAGAGAGGCCCUACAGAUGCACUGAAUGUGGGAAAAGCUUCAAUAAACACUCAACACUCGCACAGCAUCAGAGAAUCCACACCGGAGAGAAACCCUUCAGAUGUGCAGUAUGUGGGAAAAGCUUCAGUCGGAGCUCAACGCUCAUUUAGCAUGAGAGGAUCCACACGGGGAACAAACAGCAUAAAUGUGCUGAAUGUGGGAAGAGAUUUAGUCAGAACUCAGAUCUGAUUGUACAUCAGAGAAUCCACACGGGCGAGGAACUCCACAAUUGUACUGAGUGUUGGAAAAGGUUUAGCUGCAGGUCAACGCUUAUUAAACAUCAGAGGAUCCAUACAGGACAGAGACCCUAUAAGUGCCCUGAAUGUAAGAAAAGCUUCUCCUGGAGCUCAGACCUUAUUUGUCACCAGAGGGUCCACAUGGAGGAGAAUCCCUAUAAAUGCACUAAGUGUGGGAAAAGCUUCGGUCGGAAAUCACAACUCAUCCAGCACCAGAAAAUGGAUUUCUGGUUCCCAAACCUGAUGUGAUCUCCCAGACGGAACGAGGGGAAGAGCCAUGUGUUCCAGAUCUCCAGGCCACCAAAAAAAGAGAGGUUCUGAAAGCUACCCAG